GAUUGAACGCUGGCGGUAUGCUUAACACAUGCAAGUCGAACGGAAACGAUACUAGCUUGCUAGUAGGCGUCGAGUGGCGGACGGGUGAGUAACGCGUAGGAAUCUGCCUGAUAGUGGGGGAUAGCCCGAAGAAAUUCGGAUUAAUACCGCAUAAUCUAUUCGUAGUAAAGUGGGGGACUUUCGAGCCUCACGCUAUCAGAUGAGCCUGCGUAAGAUUAGCUAGUUGGUAGGGUAAAAGCCUACCAAGGCGACGAUCUUUAGCUGGUCUGAGAGGAUGAUCAGCCACAUCGGGACUGAGACACGGCCCGAACUCCUACGGGAGGCAGCAGUGGGGAAUAUUGGACAAUGGGGGCAACCCUGAUCCAGCAAUACCGCGUGUGUGAAGAAGGCCUGAGGGUUGUAAAGCACUUUCAAUUGUGAAGAAAAGCUAGUGGUUAAUAGCCAUUAGCCUUGACGUUAACUUUAGAAAGAAGCACCGGCUAACUCCGUGCCAGCAGCCGCGGUAAUACGGAAGGGUGCAAGCGUUAAUCGGAAUUACUGGCGUAAAGCGUGCGUAGGCGGUUUUUAAGUCAGAUGGGAAAGCCCGGGCUUAACCUGGGAACUGCAUUUGAAACUGGUCACUAGAGUAUGGUAGAGGAAAGUGGAAUUUCUGGUGUAGCGGUGAAAUGCGUAGAUAUCAGAAGGAACAUCAAUGGCGAAGGCACUUCUGACCAAUACUGACGCUGAGGUACGAAAGCGUGGGUAGCAAACAGGAUUAGAUACCUGGUAGUCCACGCGUAAACGAUGAUAACUAGCCGUUGGGGGGAUUUACCCCUUUAGUGGCGAAGCUAACGCGUUAAGUUAUCCGCCUGGGGAGUACGGCCGCAAGGUUAAAACUCAAAGGAAUUGACGGGGACCCGCACAAGCGGUGGAGCAUGUGGUUUAAUUCGAUGCAACGCGAAGAACCUUACCUGGUCUUGACAUCCUGCGAACUUUCUAGAAAUAGAUUGGUGCCUUCGGGAACGCAGUGACAGGUGCUGCAUGGCUGUCGUCAGCUCGUGUCGUGAGAUGUUGGGUUAAGUCCCGUAACGAGCGCAACCCCUAUCCUUAUUUGCCAGCACAUCAUGGUGGGAACUAUAAGGAGACUGCCGGUGAUAAACCGGAGGAAGGCGGGGACGACGUCAAGUCAUCAUGGCCCUUACGACCAGGGCUACACACGUGCUACAAUGGGAAGGACAAAGAGCCGCGAAGCCGCGAGGUGUAGCUAAUCUCAGAAACCUUUUCGUAGUCCGGAUUGGAGUCUGCAACUCGACUCCAUGAAGUCGGAAUCGCUAGUAAUCGUAGAUCAGAAUGCUACGGUGAAUACGUUCCCGGGUCUUGUACACACCGCCCGUC
Molecule: ribosomal RNA, 1374 nt
Filed under: uncultured bacterium
Lineage: Bacteria
Description: bacterial SSU rRNA
Rfam family: Bacterial small subunit ribosomal RNA
Source: RNAcentral